GCCGGGAUGGCGGAAUUGGCAGACGCGCGGGACUCAAAAUCCCGUGGCCGAAAGGCUGUGAGGGUUCGAUCCCCUCUCCCGGCA
Molecule: transfer RNA, 84 nt
Filed under: bacterium
Lineage: Bacteria
Description: tRNA-Leu
Rfam family: tRNA
About the family: Transfer RNA (tRNA) molecules are approximately 80 nucleotides in length. Their secondary structure includes four short double-helical elements and three loops (D, anti-codon, and T loops).
Source: RNAcentral